UACGUAGGGUGCGAGCGUUAAUCGGAAUUACUGGGCGUAAAGUGUGCGCAGGUGGCCGCGCAAGUCGAGUGUGAAAUCCCCGAGCUUAACUUGGGAAUUGCGCUCGAAACUACGUGGCUCGAGUGUGGCAGAGGAAGGUGGAAUUCCACGUGUAGCGGUGAAAUGCGUAGAGAUGUGGAGGAACACCAGUGGCGAAGGCGACUCUUUGGCCUGUAACUGACGCUGGGGCGCGAAAGCGUGGGGAGCAAACAGG
RNAcentral lists this ribosomal RNA (253 nucleotides) under uncultured bacterium. Its description in RNAcentral is "partial 16S ribosomal RNA". It matches the Rfam family "Bacterial small subunit ribosomal RNA", at positions 524 to 776 of the family's 1533-position model. The record is from RNAcentral.